Molecule: long non-coding RNA, 564 nt
Filed under: Homo sapiens (human)
Lineage: Eukaryota; Metazoa; Chordata; Mammalia; Primates; Hominidae
Description: non-protein coding LINC01820:18
Source: RNAcentral
ACUUUCUGACUGUGAGUACUGCUACAAGUCCACCCCCACCUCUGCUUGUAGAAAUAAAAAGUGCAGAUUUAUGAGAGGGGAUGGGUCUACCUGGAGUGACUUGAGGAAUACCCAGAAGACCCCGUCCACCUCCUCCUGCUUAGAAUAUGCCUUUUGCUAGCCUGCUGUGAUGCCUGGAAUUUCAUCCUUCACCCAUGUGCUGCAGGACAAGAGGAGGGCCAGAAAGCUCUGCCCAUGCCUGGGGAGCAUGCUGGAUCUCCCUUCCAGCUACAGAAGAGGUCUAUGGUUUCUUAGACACGCGUGGAUUCUCACAGCCACCACCACAGACAGUACAAGCAACAGUUCCAAUACUCCAGAGAACGCCCUCAUCUCUCCUCACCCCUGCCUUCUGGCAAGCAAUGAGCUGUUCUCUGUUCCUGUAUUUUUGCCUUUUCUAGAAUGCCAUAUAAAUGGAAUUAUAUAGAAUGUGCCCUUUUGGUACUGGCCUCUUUUGUUCAAAAGAAUAAUACCUUUGAGAUUCAUCCAUGCUGUUGUUUGAAUCAAGCAUGUUAACUUUUAUUGCUG